GAUGAACGCUAGCUACAGGCUUAACACAUGCAAGUCGAGGGGUAGCAGGGUAGCAAUACCGCUGACGACCGGCGCACGGGUGAGUAACACGUAUCCAACCUUCCCAUAACUCUGGGAUAGCCCUUCGAAAGAAAGAUUAAUACCGGAUGGUACUUUUUCAAGGCAUCUUGAGAAAGUUAAAGAUUUAUUGGUUAUGGAUGGGGAUGCGUUCCAUUAGAUAGUUGGUGAGGUAACGGCUCACCAAGUCUUCGAUGGAUAGGGGUUCUGAGAGGAAGGUCCCCCACAUUGGUACUGAGACACGGACCAAACUCCUACGGGAGGCAGCAGUGAGGAAUAUUGGUCAAUGGGCAGAGCCUGAACCAGCCAAGUAGCGUGAAGGAUGAAGGUCCUAUGGAUUGUAAACUUCUUUUAUAGUAGAAUAAAGUGAUCCACGUGUGGAUUUUGUAUGUAUACUAUGAAUAAGGAUCGGCUAACUCCGUG
This 480-nucleotide ribosomal RNA is filed under the name uncultured bacterium. RNAcentral's name for it is "bacterial SSU rRNA". It matches the Rfam family "Bacterial small subunit ribosomal RNA", at positions 28 to 507 of the family's 1533-position model. The record is from RNAcentral.